RNAcentral lists this ribosomal RNA (405 nucleotides) under uncultured bacterium. Its description in RNAcentral is "bacterial SSU rRNA". It matches the Rfam family "Bacterial small subunit ribosomal RNA", at positions 355 to 776 of the family's 1533-position model. The record is from RNAcentral.
CAAGGAAUAUUGCGCAAUGGGCGAAAGCCUGACGCAGCGACGCCGCGUGGGUGAUGAAGGCCUUCGGGUCGUAAAGCCCUUUUGCUGGGGAAGAGCAAGGACGGUACCCAGCGAAUAAGCCCCGGCUAACUACGUGCCAGCAGCCGCGGUAAUACGUAGGGGGCUAGCGUUGUCCGGAAUUACUGGGCGUAAAGAGCGCGUAGGCGGUCAUUUAAGUCGGUUGUGAAAUCCUUCGGCCCAACCGGAGGAGGCCAACCGAUACUGGGUGACUUGAGGGUGGCAGAGGAAAGCGGAAUUCCCGGAGUAGUGGUGAAAUGCUUAGAUACCGGGAGGAACACCGGUGGCGAAGGCGGCUUUCUGGGCUUCUCCUGACGCUGAGGCGCGAAGGCGUGGGGAGCGAACCGA